RNAcentral lists this small nuclear RNA (21 nucleotides) under Arabidopsis thaliana (thale cress). RNAcentral's name for it is "snRNA_15613". The record is from RNAcentral. Lineage: Eukaryota; Viridiplantae; Streptophyta; Magnoliopsida; Brassicales; Brassicaceae.
GCAGGAAAACAUGAUUUUGCG